This 1799-nucleotide long non-coding RNA is filed under the name Homo sapiens (human). RNAcentral describes it as "non-protein coding lnc-ARGLU1-1:1". The record is from RNAcentral. Lineage: Eukaryota; Metazoa; Chordata; Mammalia; Primates; Hominidae.
GGCCCCACUAGGAAAGUAGCGUGUCUAGUCAGUGGUAAAUUUGUCAUCAAGAAGAGAGUUCAGAAAAGCCUAACUAGAGUUUGCUUGCUUGAGGAGAGAAUCUUUGUCAACACACACACACACACACACACAGCCUUAAAAAAGCAGGCUUGUUCUUUUCCCUGCACUAAGAUGACUUCAUUUUAAUCAGGGUUCUCACUUUUCCAGGAAGGGCCACACCUCUUGCUUUCUUCUGACUCUUUUAUUAUUCAUAAAGAACAUCCCAUUUGUAUUAUUCCAUUCUCACACUGCUAUAAAAAUACUACCAUAGACUGGGUAAUUUAUAAACAAAGGAGGUUUAAUUGACUCACAGUUCUGCAUGGCUGAGAGGCCUCAGGAAACUUACAAACAUAUGGCGGGAGGGGAAGCAGGCACCUUCUUCACAAUGUCGCAGGAGGCGGGGUGAGUAUGUGAAGGAGGAACUGUCAAACACUUAUAAAACCAUCUGAUCUCAUGAGAACUCACUCACUAUCAUGAGAACAGCAUGGGGGGAACCACCCCCAUGAUCCAAUAACUUCCCACCACAUCCCUCCCAUACAUAACAUGUCAGGAUUAUGGGGAUUACAAUUCAAGAUGAGAUUUGGGUGGGUAGAGACAGCCAAACCAUAUCAUUCUGCCCCUGGCCCCUCCCAAAUCAUGUCCUCACAUUUCAGAAGACAAUCAUGCCUUCCCAACAGUCCCCCAGAGUCUCAAGUUAUUCCAGGAUUAGCCCAAAAGUCCAAGUCUACAGUCUCAUCUGAGACAAGGCAAGUCCCUUCCAUCUAGGAGUCUGUAAAAUCAAAAGCAAGUUUCAUUACUUCCAACAUACAAUGGGGGUACAGGAGUUGGAUAAAUGCUCCCAUUCCAAAUGAAAGAAAUUGACCAAAACAAGGUGGCUACAGGUGCUACACUAGUCCAAAAUCCAGCAGGGGAGUCAUUAAAUCUUAAAUUUCCAAAGUAAUCUCCUUUGACUCCGUGUCUCAGAUCCAGGGCAUGCUGAUACAAGGAGUAGGCUCCACAGCCUUGGGCAGCUCCUUCAUGGGCUGGCAUUGAGUGCCCACAGCUUUUCCAGGCACAUGGUGCGAUCUGUCAGUGAAUUGACCAUUCUGGGGUCUGGAAGACAGUGGCCCUCUUCUCACAGAUCCACUAGGCAGUGCCCCAGUGGGGAGUCUGUGUGGGGGCUCCAACCCCACAUUUCCCUUCUAUACUGCUCUAGUAGAAAGUCUCCAUGAGGGCUCCACCCCUGCAGCAGACUUCUGCCUGGAUACCCAGGCAUUUCCAUACAUCCUCUGAAAUCUAGGCAGAGGUUUCCAAACCUCAAAUUCUUGACUUACAGGUACCUGCAAACCCAACACCACAUGGAAACAACCAAGGCUAGAGGCUUGCACCCUCUGAAGCAAUGGUCCAAGCUGUACCUUGGCCUCUUUUAGCAACAGCUGGAGCUGAAGUGGCUGGGGGAUUAGGGAGGCCCUGGGCCUAACCCAUGAAACCAUUUUUCUUCCUAGGCCUCUGGGCCUGUGACAGAAGGGGCUGCCACCAAGAUCUCUGACAUGCCCUAGAGAUGUUUUCCCCAUUGUCUUGGGGAUUAGUAUUCGGCUCCUCACUACUUAUGCAAGCUUCUGCAGACAGCUUCAAUUUCUCCCCAGAAAAUGGUUCUUUCUUUUCUAUCACAUCAUCAGGCAGCAAAUUUUCCAAACUUUUAUGCUCUACUUCCCUUUUAAACAUAAGCUUUAAUUCCAAACCAUCUCUUUGUGAACACAUAAAACUGAACACUUUCAGAG